RNAcentral lists this ribosomal RNA (237 nucleotides) under uncultured bacterium. Its description in RNAcentral is "partial 16S ribosomal RNA". It matches the Rfam family "Bacterial small subunit ribosomal RNA", at positions 29 to 240 of the family's 1533-position model. The record is from RNAcentral.
AACGAACGCUGGCGGCGCGCUUAACACAUACAAGUCGAACGAGAAGCUGUGGCAAUACAGUUGUACAGUGGCGAACGGGUGAGGAAUACAUGGGUAACCUACCCUCGAGUGGGGAAGUAACCAACGCCGAAACGGACGUGGCGUAAUAACCGCCGUACGCUUCCCUAACUACUGCGGGUUGGGAAGGAAAGGACUCUACCGUGGGUAGGAGCGCUCAAGGACGGGCGUCAUGUCCUA